ACGAACGCUGGCGGCGUGCUUAACACAUGCAAGUCGAACGGUGAAGCGCCUUCCUUUUUGGUGGGUGUGGAUGAGUGGCGAACGGGUGAGUAACACGUGAGUAACCUGCCCCCUUCUUCUGGAUAACCGCAUGAAAGUGUGGCUAAUACGGGAUAUUCUGGGUCUGUCGCAUGAUGGGUCUGGGAAAGAUAUUGUUUCGGUGGGGGAUGGGCUCGCGGCCUAUCAGCUUGUUGGUGGGGUGAUGGCCUACCAAGGCGGUGACGGGUAGCCGGCCUGAGAGGGUGGACGGUCACACUGGGACUGAGACACGGUCCAGACUGCUACGGGAGGCAGCAGUGGGGAAUAUUGCGCAAUGGGCGCAAGCCUGAUGCAGCGACGCCGCGUGAGGGAUGGAGGCCUUCGGGUUGUGAACCUCUUUCGCCAGUGAAGCAGGCCUGCCUCGUUUGUGGGUGGGUUGACGGUAGCUGGAUAAGAAGCGCCGGCUAACUACGUG
This 493-nucleotide ribosomal RNA is filed under the name uncultured bacterium. RNAcentral describes it as "partial 16S ribosomal RNA". It matches the Rfam family "Bacterial small subunit ribosomal RNA", at positions 29 to 507 of the family's 1533-position model. The record is from RNAcentral.